Non-coding RNA from Ixodes scapularis (black-legged tick), 82 nucleotides. NCBI's taxonomy places the organism in Eukaryota, Metazoa, Arthropoda, Arachnida, Ixodida, Ixodidae. The record is from Rfam.
GCAGUCGUGGCCGAGUGGUUAAGGCGAUGGACUAGAAAUCUACUGGGGUCUUCCCGUAUAGGUUCGAAUCCUGUCGACUGCG